This 25808-nucleotide long non-coding RNA is filed under the name Populus trichocarpa (black cottonwood). RNAcentral describes it as "long non-coding RNA (PTRI_LNC002966)". Lineage: Eukaryota; Viridiplantae; Streptophyta; Magnoliopsida; Malpighiales; Salicaceae. The record is from RNAcentral.
AGACUUGGAAAAUCUAACCAUAACUAGGUACGGAGGGUUGGAUUUGCCAAAUUGGAUGAUGACAUUAACCAGAUUACAGGUGCUUACACUCGGUCUUUGUACAAACGUGGAGGUCUUGCCUCCGUUGGGAAGAUUGCCCAACCUUGAAAGCCUGGUAUUGAGGUCGAUGAAGGUGAGAAGGCUGGAUGCUGGAUUUUUAGGUAUAGAAAAAGCUGCGAAUGCCAGUAUUAAUGAAGGAGAAAUUGCAAGGGUCACUGCUUUCCCCAAAUUAAAACAACUUUUGAUUAUGGGUCUCAAAGAAGUAGAAGAUUGGGAUGGAAUUGAAAGGAGAGUGGGAGAAGAAGAUGCCAACACAACUUCAAUAAUAUCCAUUAUGCCACAACUUCGAGAUUUGAUGAUUCUUGAUUGCCCGUUGUUGAGAGCACUACCAGACUAUGUUUUGGCAGCGCCUAUACAGGAACUACGCAUAAGAAGGUGCCCCAUUCUAACGAAUCGUUACGGGAAGGAGGAGAUGGGUGAAGAUUGGCAAAAGAUUUCUCACAUCCCUAAGAUUCAUAUUUAGAACCUGCUUUGAGUGUAUUAAUUAUUUGCUUUGGUGUUUGCUAAGGUUGAGUGUAAAAUAAUAUGAAAGCCUUGCCAUUUACUCUAUGUGACCUCUUUACUUAGAUGGAGGAUUUAUUGCAAGUCAAAUAUUUUUAUUUUUUAUAAAAAUUUAGUUCUUUAAAUAUAUUUUUCUAGUUUAAAAAUAUAAUAAAUUAAAAAAUUUAUAUACAACUAAUCAAAUAAAUUAAAAAUUAUUUAUGUUAAUAAAUAAAUAAAAAUUUAUUAAUAAUACUUAAAAACAAAACUGGUUCAAAGCCUUCAUUGAGCUCAAUGUAAAGAGGACCAACCUGCCGUCAUAAAAGCCCAAAAUACUCCAUUGUAAAAGCCCUCGUAAGAAAACACCUUCUUCUCCAACAAGAAAAGCGAAGUUAAAACCCCAAGUAAAUAUCCCUGUCUUUCUCUCCUACACGCUCGCAUUCUCAGUUUUUCAUCUCUGCGUCUUCAAGCAAUAAACCAUGGGUGAUAGCCAGUACUCCUUUUCUCUCACUACUUUCAGUCCUACCGGAAAGCUAGUACAGAUUGAGCACGCAUUGACUGCCGUUGGAUCAGGCCAAACUUCUCUCGGAAUCGAACGUUGUUGCAAUUUAAGCUCUCUCUCUUUUUUUUUUUUUUUUCUCAUUCUCUUGUCAUUUUCGAAUGUACUAUGUUGUUGAUGGGUGCUUAGAUACUAUGUUGUUGAUUUUAUAUUAUUUUUUUUGGAGUUGUAGCGGCAAACGGUGUUGUUAUUGCAACUGAGAAGAAAUUGCCAUCUAUUUUAGUCGAUGAAUCUUCUAUAAGUAAACAUUUAUUAUUUUCUUUUAUUGGUUUUGUUAUAUUCUUUGGUUGAAAUUCAAGAAACGCUUUUGUGUUUUUUGCGUUUUUGAUUGUGUUUUCUUUGUGAACUUUUCUGGUUGGCCAUGUGAUAUUUUAGUAAUAACAUAAGUAUAGAGACAUGGGUUUGUAGCAUUCUAAUUAAAGAAGCUGAUGAUUGUUGUGGAAAAGCAACGUGGAUUCUUGCCAAUGAGGUGUUGGUCUAGUAGUUAAUGGGUUUAUAUUGAGAUUCUUAGGAGUGAUUUGAGUUUAGUGACAUCGGCUGGUAGAAAUCUAUUCAAAUUCAGUGUAAAUUUGUAAUUUGUAUUAGUAAUUUGAGCUUAGUGAUUUGGGUUCUUGCCAAUGAGGCGUUACUAUACUAGUCAAUGACUCUAAGAUUGGGACUUUGAAUGUUGGAGUGUGUAGAUUUAUAUCCUCUUUAAUCCCACUUUGUAUAAAAAGGCGGUGUUGGUUAUUUUAAAUCGUGUUGAAUGAGGUGGAGAUGGUUUGAUUUUGGAGCCAGUUGAUUGGUCUCUUAUUCUAAUUUGCAAGAUGGUAUAUAACUUGAGUUGGUUGUUGAUGGUAUUUAAUUGCUUCUUGUUUCAGGUUCAGAAAAUACAGAAUCUGACACCCAAUAUUGGAGUUGUCUACAGGUUUGUUUCUGCCUGCUUCUCAGUAAUUAGGAAUUUCCAUUUUUUUAGCUUGUGUUAAUUCUUAACAGUGUUAAUUCUUAACGGUAAAAGAUUUUACCAAAUCUAUUUUAACAAAUCUAUUUCGGGCUAAUUCAGAAAAUGGAAUAGUCAUUUUAACUUUGUUUUUGAUUCUUGACUUUGUUUUUGAUUUACUAAUUCUUGUUUUGUUAACCAAAUCAUUUUACCAUUACUUCUUUUGAUAUAUUUAUUUUCUUCCGAUUUGGUUCUGCGUUGUGAUUUACUUCUUUGAUUGUAUUAAUUAUUUAUUAUUGAAGUAAGAAGAAAGGAAUUGAAUUUAGAAUGCUAAGUAAGCCAUGGUGGCAGCCGAGGCACAGACCUAGUAAUAUUAAUACAUUAGAACUAUAAUUUGUUGCUGCCCAGCUUGGAAGGUAUUAGUGUCACUUCCAAUGCAUGAAAUAAUUUAUUGCUGGAGGAGGAGCAGGGGCCCUAGCUGCUGUUUAAUACCGAGGCACAUUGUAAUUUUAAAAAAAUGUUUUUAAUUUUAUCUAAAGAUGUAUUAAAAUAUUUUCUUAGAUUUUUUUUAUUUUUUAUAUUAAUACAUUAAAACCAUGAAAAAAAAACACUAGAAAGGUAUUAAUUUAAUGUUUUUUUAAAAUCAAAUACACUUUUAAAAUACAUCAAAACACAAUUUCAAAAAUAAAAUUAAAAAGAUUUAUGAACCUUAUCAGCCCCAAGGUUGUGUUGUGCAUUUAUUAUUAUAAUGUCAGUCAUAUCAUAUAUCUCUUCAGACUAAUAUAUUUAUAGAAUUUAAAAAUUAAUUCUUUAUUUAAAUUAUUUGAAUAACUUGAUAGGAAAUGUCAUGGAUAAUUAUUAAAUUAAUUAAUUCUAAAAAUUUAAUUAAUUAAUUCUAAAAAUAACAAUAAAAAAUUUUUUAUGUCACAUAAUGGCAUUUGUCAAAACUUCUCUUUUAAAUUAGUUUAGAAUUUGAGUCAACGAAUUAUUAAACUCGGAGAGACUUGAAUGUAACUCUUAAGAUUUAUUUUUUAUUUUUUCAUCCAGAACAACCAACGUGGUUUUAGUAUUUUUUUAAAUUAUUCAUUAUAACGUUGGCAUCUUUGGAAGUAUAAUUAGGGUUGUUUUUCAAAGUAAUUUUUAUUUUAAAACAUAUUAAAAUAAUAUUUUUUAUUUUUUAAAAAUUAUUUUUGACAUCAGCACAUCAAAAUAAUCUAAAAACAUUAAAAACAUAUUAAUUUAAAAUAAAAAAAUAAAAAAAAUUUAAAUUUUUUUAAAACUACUUUCGAAACGCGAUACCAAGCAUUUUAGAGUUAAUCCAACUAUCCAAAUCAUGAUAAAAUAAAAUAAAAUAAAAGUCAAGCCAUGCAUACAAUAAUGCUUAUAUGUGAAUUUUUUUUUUAAUGAUCCCAAUACAUAUUUGAAGAAUAAAAAAAUUAGUUCAAAAUUUAAAAAAAUUAAAAUCUUUUAAAAAUACAACUAAUCCACAAAAAAAAAAAAUAAUUACACGGCACCUAUCACCAGCCACUAAGUGCCAUGGGCCAGCGCGCCCAUGGCCAGGCAAGGAGCUCCCCUGAAAAGCAACAUGUAGAAUUUAGGCGUAAUAGAGUGUCUGUAGACACUACUACUUAGGUACUAGCUAUCACGCACUUUAAUAAGUUCAAUUAUUAGUAUUUUUAGCUGAAAUAUUGCACAAAAGCUGGAAAAAGUCCAAUUAAGCUAUAGAAAAACCCAGAUUUUGAUUUUGCAAUACUAAAAUGUUGCAGAACGUUAAAAGUACGUGUUAACUGUGUAAACCAAUGGAACUGUGUAAAGGGGACUUAUGAUUAUGUUUAAAUGAAAUUUUUAAAUAAAUUGCGUACCUGCCACUAACUUUACUUGCUUUUGUCAUCUUAAUUUCUUUUCUUUCCAUUCAACCUUCGCCUAAAAAAAAAACAUGUAAUUAGGCUUUAAUUUCAGUUUAAUUGUUAAAAAAAAAAUUUAGGAAUUAAAUGAAAAUUUUUAAAAAAUUUCAUUGCUCAAAUCCACAAUAAAAUAUAAAAAAGUAAUAAUAAUUUAAUGAACAGUAAAAAAGUCACACGUUUUAGCUUUAAAUUUAAUAUUAAAGAUUUAUAUUUUUAAGAAAUUCAACAUAAUAUACUCAAUGGCUAGAAGCUUGGUGGCCAAGUUCAUAUCAUGAGUUUUCGUUUAUUGUCGAGGAUGAUUUGGAGGUUUCGCCGUUCUUUUAUAAAUAUGCGAGGGGUAUGAUUGCUAUUACAAUGUGUCGAAUUUUAGUCCUUUUUAUAUAUGAUAUGGUGCUUCACUUCAGCGUCCACGGUUUGUCCCAGGUUUUGUAUUUGUUAGACUGGAUGUUUUAAUGUUCAGUGUUAAGGUUUACAGAUUUCUUGAUUUGUUAUAUACUGGGUUUUUUUUGUCUUUCAUUUUCGUGAUCUUCUUUUUCUUCUUCUUGUUCUCUAAUGGUGUCUUUUUCAUCGAUCUUGUUGAUGCUGAGACUCAGGGUGUGCUUAGGAAUGCAGUACAAACCGUAUCUUAAAAAUUUUAAUUUUUUUAUUUAAAAUAAAUUAUUUUUUUAUUUUUUUAGAUUAUUUUGAUAUGUUAUAUCAAAAAUAAUUUUUAAAAAAUAAAAAAAAUUAUUUUAAUAUAUUUAUAAGUGAAAAGUACUUCAAACCGUUACGUCUUUAGCUUGAGUUUUGAAUGAAGGACGUUCUUGUGUGAAUACCAAGAGUUUUUGUUUUUUUUUUUUUGAUUUUAAUGUAUUAAUAUGAAAAAUAAAAAAAAAUUAAAAGACAUUAUUAUUCUAAUAUAUUUUAAAUAAAAAAACUUUAUACGUCCCUUGUAGACUCAGGUAAAAAGUUUUUUUUUUUAAAAGAAAUAAUUUAAUAAAAAUAAUAUUAUUUGAUUUUCUUUUAAAAAUAAUUAAACUUUUAAACUCUGACCCGAUGAAGUAAAGUUUUAAAAAUUAUGGUUAAAACUGGUUCAGCGAAGAGCUUUGGCCUGAAAAGGGGGAAAAGUCGACACUGCUUUCUCUCCUAAAUAGACACCGGAUGACUAUGACACCCUUGUUAUGGUAUCUGAUUCAGCGAAAAGGAGGGUAUUAUGGUAAUUGGAACAACCUGAAUCGAGAAUCUGAACCGCUGUAUUCCUACGCAAAGAUGCACACGCUACUGAUAACUCGGCCAUCUCAGUCGAUUACUCAAUGUAAUUAAUUAGAGCACUCUUUGCUGAUUAUUUCAAGAAGGGACAUCCUCUGCCCUUAUUUUUGAGUCACCAGCUAGCUACAAGUCUUCAAGCUUUGAAAUGGCUAAAAUGAGAAUAGCCUAAUAAUAAUAAUAAUAAUAAUAAAAAGCAACAACAGAGAAGAUAAAAUAAAGAAGACAUAAAAGCAGGGUAUCUACUCUAUAACUGGAAGAAAAUUAAUAGCAUUCAUAUCUAUUGUCAUGAUUAAUUAAGUAUUGAAAAAAAUUAUCAAGAAAAUUAAUAUCAUCAAGAAUAAAGAGUUCAAAAUGUUUGUUAAAAUUCAAAAAAAUGGUGAAAUGUCCUAUUUUUAGGGAUAAUGUCAAAAAUUUCAUUAAAUUUAAAAAAGUGAUGAAAUUUCAAAUCAUCAGGGAUUAACAUCAAAGUUUUAUUAAAAUUCAAGAAAUUAUGAAAUCUACUGUCUUUAGGUCUUCAGGGAUUAAUGUAAAGAAAAAUAAAAGAUUAAAAAAUUAAUGAAAUCUCCUAUUUUAGAGAUUGAAAAUGGCAAAAUUUCCGUUAAUUUUUUUUUAUUGAUAACAGUCAAGAUUAUAUAUAUAUAUAUAUAUAUUAAGGCUAGUGCUAUAAAAUGACAAGCUAUAAAAUCUUUGAUUUUUAGGGAUUAAUGUUAUUUUGAUUAAUGUUAUGAUUUUUAUAAAAUAUUGUCUAAAAAAGUAUUUUUUUGAAAAAAACCAGGGAUGCAUUAAUAAGAUAAAAAAUGGUUUUAAUUUGAUGGAUAUCUUUUUUAUUUUAAUCUCAAAGCAUUGUUUUUUUUUUAUUAUUUCUUUUCAAUAAAGAACAUAGAACAAAAAAGUUAUAUUGUUUUGUAGAAUAAUUAAAGAACAUAUGAAAAAAAAAGUUAUAUUUUAUCUCUUCGUUGCUAAAAUUAACAUCAUAUUUUACUAUCGUUGCACUACAAAAAAAAAAACAAUAUGUAAUGGCUCUUCAAAAUAUAUUUAAGGACACUUUUUAGUAAAGGCAGGUUCAUCUGCAUCGAUACGAGAGAGUUUUAUUUGCUAGGACAUGCCUUGUUGUAUGAUUUAUACAGUGUUUGAUUUUGUAUUUCAACAACAUUUAAAAAAAAAUUAAAUUUCGAAACACUACAAAAACUUAAAAAAAAAAAUGUUGAGACACUAAAAUACAAGCUUCCUUUUUUUUUUUUCCAACCUACAAGUUGUGCUCUCCAAAAACUAAUGAAAAAAAACUAAUAAAAACUAACUUAAUUUGAGACACUAAAAUAAAAAAAUGUUGAGACACUAAAAGUCUAAAAUACAAGCUUCACCUGCAACGCCAAACCCUAAGUAUAUAAACUAACUUCCAUUCACAAUCAUCAGCCGCCUCCUUCUCUUCACCCUCUCUUUCUCUCUGCUCAUCCCGUCAUCAUUGCUUCUCUCUCUCUCUCUCUCUCUCUCUCUCUCUCUCUCUCUCUCUCUCUCUCUCUUUCCAAUCAGAACUAAACAGACGAUGGCUGAGGCACUUCUAUCUCCGAUCUUGGAGCAGUUAACCACGAUCGUUGCUCAACAGGUAUUUUUCUACCAUCUGCAAUAACCUGAUUUACCUAGCAGAGAUAAGAAAUAUAUAUAAAGUUCAAGCCUUUUUUCUUCCUAUCAUAAAAAGAAUACUUUUAACUUGAAUAAAUAAAAAUAAUAUUUUAAAUCCUCAAGUAUAUAUUUGGAUUUUAUUAAAGAAUCUUCUUUUUCUUGUUUUAUUAUUUUUCAUAUUUCCAAAAAUAACCUAAAGAAAAUAUAUCAUUCCAAAUAUAGGAAAACCGAAAAAGGCAAAACAAGAAAUAUUAAGGGUAAAAUAAUCAAUAAAAAGUUCAAAGGAUUACCGAGCGAGUAUAUAUAUAUAUAUAAGGUAAAAUAUCUAUAGUUUAAUGUAAAAUAAAAACCAGAUUUUAUGUCGGUUCAAAGGAGAAAUCCUUCUCUCGGGAGAACAUUAAACUCUUUCCAUGCCUAUAUUAAUUAUAUAUAUAUAUAUAUAUAUAUAUAUAUAUAUAUACGUUCAGAAAUAUUUUAUAUAUAAAUUAUUAAUAUAGUCAAUCCAUUUCACAAUAAAAUAUAUUAAUACAAAAUAAUUAAUCUAUCAGUUGCCAAAAAUUAAGAAAUUGUGUUGAAAUCAUAGUAACGUUUCCUAUGCUUGAACUUCCUUAUCUUUUGUACACUAAUAGGUACAAGAAGAGGUGAACCUCGUAGGAGGUGUGAAGAAACAAGUCGACAAGCUGAAAAACAAUCUCCUCGCUAUCCAAUCUGUCCUUGAAGAUGCAGAUAGAAAACAAGUAAAGGAUAAGGCUUUAAGAGAUUGGGUAGACAAGCUCAAAGAUGUAUGUUAUGAUAUGGAUGACGUGCUUGAUGAAUGGAGCACUGCAAUUCUUAGAUGGAAAAUGGAGGAAGCUGAAGAAAAUACUCCCAGCCGAAAGAAGAUACGGUGUUCCUUCCUGGGAUCUCCUUUCUUUUGUCUCAAUCAAGUGGUUCAACGUCGCGAUAUUGCCCUCAAGAUAAAAGAAGUAUGUGAAAAAGUGGAUGACAUUGCCAAAGAGAGAGCUAUGUAUGGCUUUGAGUUGUACAGAGCCACUGAUGAACUCCAACGAAUAACAAGUACCUCCCUUGUUGAUGAAUCAAGCGUGAUUGGUCGAGAUGAUAAAAGGGAAGCUGUAGUAAGCAAGUUGCUAGGAGAAAGUAUUCAGGAAGCGGGGGACGUAGAGGUCAUCUCUUUAGUAGGGAUGGGCGGGAUUGGAAAGACAACUCUCGCCCAACUAGCUUUUAAUGAUGAUGAGGUUACGGCUCAUUUUGAGAAAAAGAUAUGGGUGUGUGUUUCAGAUCCAUUUGAUGAGGUUAGGAUAGGCAAAGCUAUCCUUGAGCAACUUGAAGGGAGGGCACCGGAUUUGGUUGAAUUGCAAUCCCUUUUGCAAAGGGUUUCUGAAUCCAUUAAGGGAGAGAGGUUCCUUCUUGUCCUUGAUGAUGUAUGGACAGAAAAUCAUCGACAAUGGGAACAACUGAAACCAUCUCUCACAGGCUGUGCACGAGGAAGCAGAAUUCUAGUGACCACUCGUAAACAUUCUGUGGCAACGAUGAUGGGAACCGGCCACGUGAUCAACCUUGAGAAAUUGUCUGAUGAGGUAUGCAGGUCAAUAUUCAAUCAUGUGGCAUUCCAGCAAAGAAGCAAAGAUGAGCGUGAAAGAUUGACAGAUACCGGCGAUAAAAUUGCAAACAAGUGCAAGGGCUUGCCUCUAGCUGCCAAGGUAUUAGGAGGUCUAAUGCAGUCUAAAAGAACAAGAGAAGAGUGGGAACGUGUUUUCUGUAGCGAACUAUGGGGGCUAGAUGAGGUUGAUAGAGAUCAGGUUGAAAGAGGAAUAUUUCUACCUUUGCUUUUGAGUUACUACGAUUUACCUUCUAUGGUAAGACGAUGUUUCUUGUAUUGUGCCAUGUUUCCAAAAGACUACGAGAUGCGGAAAUAUGAAUUAGUAAAGAUGUGGAUAGCUCAAGGUUACCUCAAGGAGACUUCAGGUGGAGAUAUGGAGGCUGUUGGAGAGCAGUACUUUCAAGUCUUAGCAGCGCGCUCUUUCUUCCAAGAUUUUAAGACGUAUGAUCGAGAAGAUGUUAGAUUCAAGAUGCAUGAUAUAGUGCAUGAUUUUGCCCAAUAUAUGACAAAAAAUGAAUGUCUAACAGUGGAUGUCAAUAACCUUCGAGAAGCAACAGUGGAGACUUCAAUUGAAAGGGUUCGUCAUUUAAGCAUGAUGCUGUCAAAGGAAACCUAUUUUCCCGUGUCCAUUCACAAAGCAAAAGGUCUUCGCAGCCUCUUCAUCGACGCUAGAGACCCUUGGCUUGGAGCUGCACUACCUGAUGUAUUCAAGCAGUUGACAUGCAUCAGGUCAUUGAAUUUGUCAAUGUCCUUAAUCAAAGAAAUACCAAACGAGGUAGGGAAAUUGAUACAUUUGAGACACCUCAAUUUGGCAGAUUGUUAUAAGUUGGAGUCCCUGCCAGAAAUCAUGUGUGAUUUAUGCAAACUGCAAUCCCUAGACGUUACUACAUGUCGGUCUCUCUGGGAAUUGCCCAAGGCGAUUGGAAAACUUAUCAAAUUGAGGCAUCUCCGGAUUUGUGGUUCAAUUGUGGCCUUCAUGCCAAAGGGAAUAGAGAGGAUAACAUGUCUUCGAACAUUAGAUUGGUUUGCUGUGUGUGGUGGUGGUGAGGAUGAAAGUAAAGCAGCUAAUCUAAGAGAAUUAAAGAACUUAAAUCACAUCGGAGGGAGUCUUAGAGUAUAUAAUCUACGAGGAGGUUUAGAAGGUGCGAGAGACGCUGCAGAAGCACAACUCAAGAAUAAGAAGCGUCUGCGUUGUUUGCAAUUGUAUUUCGACUUCGACCGGGAGAACGACAUUUUAAUUGAAGCUUUACAGCCUCCGUCAGACUUGGAAUAUCUAACCAUAUCUAGGUACGGAGGGUUGGAUUUUCCAAAUUGGAUGAUGACAUUAACCAGAUUACAGGAGCUUACACUCGAUUAUUAUGUAAACCUGAAGGUUUUGCCUCCGUUGGGUAGAUUGCCGAACCUUGAAAGCCUAGAAUUACGCGGGUUGAAGGUGAGAAGGUUGGAUGUUGGAUUUAUAGGUAUAAAAAGUGUUAAUGAAAGAGAAAUUGCAAGGGUCACUGCUUUCCCCAAAUUAAAAAAACUUUGGGUUUUGAAUCUCAAAGAAGUAGAAGAGUGGGAUGGAAUUGAAAGGAGAUCAGUGGGAGAAGAAGAUGCCAACACAACUUCAAUAUCCAUUAUGCCACAACUUCGACAGUUGACAAUUCGUAAUUGCCCGUUGUUGAGAGCACUACCAGACUAUGUUUUGGCAUCGCCUCUACAGGAAAUGGUCAUAAGCAUUUGCCCCAUUCUAAGGAAACGUUACGGGAAGGAGGAGAUGGGUGAAAAUUGGCAAAAGAUUUGUCACAUCCCUUACAUUUCUAUUUAAAGAAUAGUUAAGACACCGCUACGUAAGUAAAAAAUAAUGUGUUUGAUAAUUGUUUGGGAACGCUGUCCAAUGUGUUUUCAUAAAUUUUGAAAUUUUUUUUUUAAAAAAUAAUUUUUUUAUGUUUUUAGAUUGUUUUCGUGUGUUGGUAUCAAAAAUAAUUUUUACAAAAUAAAAAAAAUAUUAUUUUGAUGCAUUUCUAAGUGAAAAGCACCAAGGUUGUCAAAAACACAUUUUUGACACGACACGGAAUAUACAAUAUAAACUUGGAUCGUAAACUCAAAUCGUAAAAUCAUAAAAUCGUAAGUAAAAGUGAAAUAAAGUAAUAAACAAUACAAAUGUCCAAACACUUAAAAUACAUGAUUCAAAUAAAAAUUUAUAAAUAGUUUAAAUAACUUUAAAAUAUAAUACAACAAUUAUGUCCAUAGAAUUUUAUUAACUAAAAAUUAACAAACUUAAAACAAAUAAUAUAUUGGUGUGUCAUAUAAACUAAACAUGAUCUCAUUGCCUUGAUCUUCAUAAGGAUGUAUAGUGCUGAGAAUUGAAUAAAAUACAACAAAAAAACCAACAUAUAAAUACAGGGAAAACACAACCAUCCCUUGCAGCAGCAGCUAAUGCAGGGUUAUCUUCAAUUCGAAAGUCCCUCCUACACCAAACAAUGGUCUUACUGCUACCCAUUAGGAUCAUAACCCCUUUUGCACCAGAAGAUAAACAAAUAUAAACAAGCUCCUGGAUAACAAGCUCCUGGUUAUUAUCCAGGAUAUAUAAGAGAAGUAAGAAUUGGGAACAGGUAAAUUCCAGUUUACCACAUACUACAAGAACACCAACUCUAAAACUACACCUUUGCAUCAGAGACACCCCCACCUUCUGUAUAAUAGAGGAGCACUCCUCUAGAACCUUCAAAGACAAAUCAUUGCAGGCACCUCUCUCUGUUUAACCUAAUAUUCUUCAACUAAUUCUUUUAACUCUAUGUGCAACAAGAAGAUGAGAUAUCAUGUGACUGAAGAAUCAAUAUAUAUACCAAAAUUCAGGACAGUAUUAAGCAUUCAUUUCAUGCUCUGCCCUUCUAGUGGGAAUUGCAAUAAAAAGGAAGAUGGGUUUUGAAGCUAUAUAUGAUGUAGCAGCAUUGUAGCAACCAGAAACUGAAAGCAACCAUUUGAAAGCAACAUAUUUGGUACCGUCUAUCAGAUUAGGACACAAACAUGCAAAGAUUGCAAAAACCCAAUAUGGCAAUAAAUAUAUACACACAUACAAGACUUGUCAGCACAGUUAAUAAGGCAUGCGAAAUUACAAAAGAGAAAAGAUCUUAUGAUUCAGCAAAUGAGCAAAUGUUAAUAUGACAGGCACUCAACUCUUAUUCUAUAUCAGACACUUCGUCGCCAUGGAUGAGGGGAAAAAGAAAAGAUUAACAGAAAAUAAUGUGUUUACCUGGAAGAUUUUCAACACCAGGAAGAUUUUCAGCACAAAUUGCAAGAUUAACAGCAAGUUCAAGAUUAUUUAACUGCCAAAUCACCCAAAAAUAAUAUAAGAUUGAUAACCCAAAAAUGAUAUAAAACAUGAUAGAGAAGGAGAGAAUCAAGCAAACCUGGCCACUAAUGAAAUAAUCCAGCAACCAAACCUGGCCACUAAUGAAAGAAUCCAGCAAGCAAAGCUGAGAGAGUGGAGACUGGAAACUGGAGACCGGAGAGGCGGAGAGGCGGGCCUGUUAACGGCGAAAUAAAGAAAAAAAUGGGGUUUUUGAGAGAAAGAAAGAGAGUGGAAGGCGUUGGCUUCUGCUGGGUUUAAGAUUUGAGAAUCAGAGAAUGUGAGAUCUGCUUCUGCUAGGGUUGAAUUUGAGAAUCAGAGAAUGUGAGAUUUGGGGGAAGCGGAAAGGAAAAAGGGGAAUUUUGUGAGACUAACGGGAUGGAUAGGAGAGGAUUGAGAACAGUGAGAAGAUUCAAUGGUUUUUGUUAAUUCUAUCGAACUCGGUAAACUCGGUUCGAGUUUACCGAGUUCACCGAGUUUGACCAAGUUUACUAAUUUUCAAGUUUUCUACCCGAUUUCACACGGUAUAUCUGAGUUGACUCGUAAAAUCGUAUGAUUUUACGAGUCAACUCGCAAGUUUGACAACCAUGAAAAGCACUAUGAACCGCCACCGCUGCUAUAAUUUCAAACAGGCAAGCUUUUCAAAUUGAGGUAAUAAAAUAACUAUAAAAGACAUAUAUUAAUAUUGAUGUUUUUUAGUUGAAAUAUUGUAGAUUUAAUUUCUGCUAUUACAUCAUAAAACAAACAAUACUUUAUAUAAAAUAUUUUUUAUUGUUUCAUUAAACUAUCUGUAAUUUCAUCACGUACGAAAUUCAUCCUGCCUUGACUAUAGUUUCCAUUGAUUUUAGAGUGUGCAACAACAUCAGGUAAAAUCUCAUCAGGAACAUAACUGGAAUUGUGAUCAAAUUUUGUAAAUGCAACGUCAUCAUACGAUCUCCUUCUAAUAUAAUUAUGUAGUGCCAUUGAUGCCAUUAUAAUUUCAACUUGCGUUUUGUAUGGAUAAGCAAGCAUGUUUUGUAAAAUCCUUCACCUUUGUUUCCAUACUCCAAAAGAACGUUCUAAGACAUUACGUAGCGAUGAGUGUGCUCGAUCAAAAACUUCUUGCCGAUUUCUUGGUUGUCCACGACGCCUAAAAUCUUCUAAGUGAUAUCUCUCACCUUUAUAUGGACCUAAAUAAUCAUACUCAUUGGGAUAUCCAACAUCAACUAAAUAGUAUUUACUUGUAAUUACAAACAACAUUCAAAUUUGUCAUGUAAUUAGUAAAUAAUAAACAAAUUUUUAUACUUAUAAUUACAUAACAAGUUCUGUUGUAUAACUACCUUCUGGUGGUUUAUGAAAUUUUAUAUUUCUAUUCUCAAUAGCCUCAAGAAAAAUACGUGUAUCGUGGGCACUACCUUCCCAUCCUGCCCACAUAAACAUGAACUGCAUGUCAAAACUACAAGCAACCAUUAUGUUUUGAGUCGAUACACCUUUUCUUCUGAUAAAUGGAAUUUGAUUUUCAGUUGAUAUGCAAGCUCACACAUGUGUUUCAUCAAUUGCACCAAUACAAUUCUACAUGAAAACCAUUGAUAAUAUGAUGUCGUUACUUACUAACAUGCAUAAAACAAUUUUUCUUUGAAUAAUAACAAUAUUAACAAAUCUUUUUCUUACCUUGAAAUGAGGCAUAUAUCUUGGAUUCAUUGCAAUUUCUCGUGGAGUGCUUGUAAAAUUCAAGUCCUUUGGUUUUAUGACAUCUAUUGCAAACAAACAUACUGCUGCGAGGACUUCUUUAAUGCAUCUACUAACAGUUUCACCUGAAUGUUGAAAUCGCUCUUGAACCUCUCUAUUUGGUGCUCCUUGUGCUAUUGUAUCUAGAAAUAUAGCCACUUUUUCAAUCACACUCAUCCUUCUCGAAGGCUUUAACCCAUACUUUGUUUCUAAAUCACUGCACAGGCUAAACAAAGUUCAUGUGUCCAUUCUAAACAGGUUGACACAUCAUUUCCAAUGUCCUCGUAAAACUUCAGUUAACCAACGCAUGCAUGUAUUAUAUGAAACCAUGCACGGUUCUUUAUGCAUAUAAUUAAUAUAAUACAUGUUUAUUGCCCCAGCUGUGCACACAACUAACUUCUUCAUAUCAAAAUCUCACUUCCAAAAUGAUUCAUCAUCAUCAUCAUCACUAUCGUCGUCGUCGUCGUCAUCAUCAUUGUUGUCGUCAUCAUUUUCCCCGUCAUCACCAUCCUCUCCCGAGCCACCGUUGUCAUCAUCACCACGAUAAUUAAUGUGAUCAACAACACGAUCCAUUAUGUUUUCAUAAUCAUCAUCAAGAUCUUUAUUGAAUAUUGCAUUAAAAAGCGCAUCUUCCAUAUGUAUAAUGCUAAAUAAAUAAACAAAUGAAUAAUGUUAAACCCUAUUUUUUCAAAUAAAACAUAAUAUCUGAUGGUAUACUUUAUCGUUUAAUUUUACACCACGCAAAUAUUACAGUCUACGUCUUCACACUAGAAAAAAUAUUGGAAAAAAAUGUUUUUGGAAAGUAUUUUUUUUAUUUGUUUUUUUUACUGGGUCGGACCCGAAAAAAAUGUUGGUUUAGAUUGUGAACAGUGGAGACAGGCAAAUGCAUCAGCAGAAGAAGAAGGAGAAGGGGGAGAGGACGCUACCCUGUACGAUGGCGAAGUAUGGUUGGCGGUGGCAACGACGAAGGCUAGUGGUGAACUAAGAGACGGUUUUCCUUUGUCCCUGCUCUUCUUCCUUCUCCCUGUUUCUGCUACGCUUUUUUUCUAUUUCGGACAGUUUUCUCCCCGUUGAUGAUGGUGCUGUUGUUGUCAACAAUGACUCCAGACGGUUAUUAUGGCGACGAUGAGGAAGGUUGACGGUGGUGGCCUUGUUUUUAUCCCGUGGUUGCCUCUGUUUUUCGUCUGAUUCUGCUCUUCUUCCUUCUUUCUGUCUCUGCUACGUUAUUUUCCUGUUUCAGACGGUUUUCUCCCCGCUGAUGGUGGUGCUGUUGUUGUCGACAAUGACGCCAGAUGGUUGUUGUGGCGGCGAUGAGGAAGGUUGGCGGUGGUGGCCCUGUUUUUAUCCCUUGGUUGCCUCUGUUUUCCUCUGAUUCUGCCCUUUUUCCUUCUCUCUGUCUCUGCUGCGUUCUUUAAGCGUUUCUGACCAGUUUGUUCUUUUUUUUACUUCUUGUUUUCCCUUCAUUCUGGUUCGUCACUUCUUUCUACCCUUAUAUUUAUUAUUCUGCAAGGUUGUAACCCAUGUGAAAGAUUGUGAAAGGUUCUAUCGCAAUGUACCAUGUGAAAAGUAUUACUGCAAUGUAUUUUUGUCACCAUGUAAAAAGUUUUCAUAUCUCUGCAAUUUACACCAGUUAGAUGGUUGUUGCUUGUUGCAUGUGACUUGUUGCAUUUCAAAUCCUUGCAUUUCAGAUUCGUGCUAUUCUUGCAUCCUGUGAUUUCUUUCUUUUUAGUUUUUUUUAUUAUGUUUAACAUUUUGUAUACUCUUUCCUUUUCCUUCUUGUUAAUCCACAUCAAUUAUAUUGUUGAUUGCAUCGUCAAUUUUUUAUAAAUGGAUUUGUAAUCGGAUUUCUUGAGCAGUGGAAUUUGUAAUUGAAAAUUGUUCUGUCGAUUAAAACACAACCCUUUGUUUGCAUUGUCAACCAAUGGCAUUCAUAAGCAUAUUUUGUAAAAUCUAAAAGCAUUGUCCACAUCAUAUGGCAUUAAUAUUACAUAGUAUUUUUCCCGAUCGCAAUUCAUAAUACUCAACAAUUAUCGAAUAACUUUACAACUUUUAACUAUAUUAAUAAACAAUCCAUAACAUGAAUAUAAUAAAUAUUAAUGCUCCAUAACCUAAUAACCUAACUGAAUGCAAAUAGUGUCUCCUAAUAAUGUGAAUUGUUAAAAUUACAAAUAGGAUCCCGAACAAACAUAGAUGAAUUUAUUACUCAAUAUCAUCUUUAGAUAUUUGCAAAUUUAAAUAAUUGACAAGAAAUUUAAAAACAUGUUACAUAACAAUUUAGAUAAUAAUAUUACCAACAAAUAAAUGAAAGCAUGCAUUUGGGAUCAAUAUAUACCUCUCUGUUUAAGGUGCUUUACGUCAUGUAUGCAUUCUCUACAACCAUUUCAUCUUGUUUUCAAGAUUACCCAUAGUUAACCACAUUUUUCUAUUCCUUCUCAAACCUAAAAACUCAGCAGCAAACUCAUGAAAAUCAUCACCAAUAUAAACUCCUUCAAUUGAGUGAAGCUUGGUCAUAACCUCAAGAAUACUACAUCUUUACCUAUCUCUAUUGAUAGAUGUUGAAUCACUAUUGUUUGACAUGCUGUCAACCAUUUGAUCCCACCGUAACAGUAAUUGCAACCCAAUUCCAGAACUUUUUUUUUCCCCAACUUGAACCUCAGAACAUUCUCUUUCUUUUCUUUUUCCAUUGUUGCAUGUGUUGCUACUGCUGGACAUAUUAACCCCCUCUAACCAUGUUGCAAACAUCAUGGUGAAAUUUGGAAUUCCAUCCUCUUCUGAAUCACCGCUUCGCACUUGUUAGCAAUUUUAUCACUGAUUCUGUCAAUCUUUCGCACUCAUCUUUGCUUCUUUUAUGGAAUGCCACCUGAUUGAAUAUUGACCUGCAAACCUCAUCAGACAUUCUCUCAAGGUUGAUCAUGUGCUCGGUUGCCAUCAUGGUUAACUCAGAAUGUUUACGAGUGGUCACUAGAAUUGGUGCACCGCCUUUAAGAGAUAGUUUCAGAUGUUCCCAUUGCCCAUGACUUUCUGUCCAUACAUCAUCAAGGACAAGAAGGAACCUCUUUCCCUUAAUUCAUUCAGAAACACUUUGCAAAAGGGAUUCCAAUUCAACUAAAUUCGGUGCACCCCUUUCAAGCGCCUCAAGGAUAGCUUUUGCUAUCCUCACCUCAUCAAAUGGAUCUGAUACACACACCCAUAUCUUUUUCUCAAAAUGAGCCAUAACCUCAGCGUCAUUACAUGUUCAAAAAUCUCAGAAAUAAUAUCAUUCAUCAGGUACAGAAAAGAACAUAAUGACCGGUAAGGUAGUUAUAAUUAAUGAGAGAUGUAAGGACUCAGAAAUUUAUUACUGUGAAAAGAAGAAACAUUUACCAUCAUUCUAAUUACAGUUAGCCAUCUUUAGCAAGUAAAAAAAGCCAACCCCGUGUAAAGAUAGUGACUGCAACCUCUGAUGCAAUCUAAAUUUGGUGUAUCUUCAUCCUCAAUCUUUUCUGAAAAAUAUGAAAGUGUAUGAAAGAAAGAUUGUAUGAAUUCAGAGAGAAGAAACAGGUAAUAUCAUCAUGAGCAUCUGAAGUGGCUUCUAGAUGUGUUUUUUGUAAUAAAAGCCUGGAAUCUUCAAGUCACCUCUUCAUCCAUCCACUGCCACUUUGCUUGGCAUCUAUGAAUGAAAUUCCUUUCACGAUGGGGUAUUAACAGUGUUUUUUCAAAAUCUGUUGUUUGUAUGUGCUACCAAUGAUUUUCUAUGGUGAAAGGCAAUCAACAGAAUCUCUCAUGACAGCUUCUCUUCUCCUGCAUUGUGUGGAAUCUUUAGCUUCAUCAGAAUGAUAUCAUCUUUAAUAGGGCUGCUCCAAAUCUUCAAAGCUGUUUUUCCUUGAUCUUCCGCAGUUUCUCAUUUUCUUCAGACUCUGCUGGCGAGGAUGUUCAUAACAGCUAUGAUGGCAUUGGUUUUGUAAAAAGGAGGAGCUGAUUUCAAUUGUUUUUUUCCUUUUCCCACACUGUUUUCCUUCCCCUGUUUCAAAACCUCUAAAGCUUGUUUGCUUUUUUUUUUUUGGUCAGCUAGAACUUCUGGAUGCUAGGCUAUUAUCUUUUUAGCCAUUUUCUUAUAAUACACUCGACUAUUAUAAGAAAAAAUGCAUCUGAAGUGGCUGAAUAUAUAAGCUUCGGUUCCAUCUCCAUCAGCAUCAAAUGCACCCGAGCUAUUGGUGAGCAGCGCCAACGAGAGGGGAAAAUAAAAAAUACCAUCCAGCAUUUACUCUAACCUUCCAACUCAUAUAUUCACAGAACUUUCAAUCUUGCCUUGCAUAGAAACCAACAGUGAACCUUAGUGGAGAGGUGACUCGCAGAAACUUAAAAAGCGGAAUCCACAUGCAGACAGUAACUCGGCCAACUCAGUCGAUUACUCAAUGUAAUUAAUUAUAGCACUCUUUGCUGAUUAUUUCAAAAAGGACCUCCUCUAGCCUUAUUUGAGUCACCAGCUAGCUACAAGUCUUCAAGCUUUGAAAUGACUAAUGGCGUACGGCGUACCACUCUGCCACUGGUAAGGAAAAGAAAUCUCUUUAAAGUCACCAAGGAACUUUUUUUUUUUUUACAACAGUGGAGAAUUUUAUUAAAAAUUUGGCUAUAAAGAGAAUAGCUUAAUAACAAAAAAAAAAAAAAAAGCAACAAAGAGAAGAUAAAAAAUAAAGAAGACAUAAAAGCACGGUAUCUACAACAGGAAGAAGAAAACAGGGACCAGACAAUAGAUAAAAACAAGAAGUCAACUUCUGUUAUCCCCGAAAAAGAUCCCAUCAGAGUUGAUCCCUAAAUCCAAACCGGUGUAAGCAGAAGUUGUGCUAUCAAACUUCAACCAUAAGGAGAACCUGUGGAGGAUAAAGUAAAAACAACCCUUAAGAUCUGGAAUAGCAUCAUUGAAGAUUACAUCAUUUCAAUGUAGUCAUAGACGCCAUGCAAUACAAGAAAAGAGAAGUUGUUAUCAUGAAAGAUUCUGAAAUUUUCCUUGCAUCAUUUGUAGCACAUAUCAUCAAUAGAAUUUGGGAAAGAAUUACUAAUACCCCACCAAAAUAGGAAUUUCAUUCAUAACUUCCAGGCAAAAACACGAUGAAUGAAGAGAUGGCUUGAAGUUUCAAAUCUUCUUUUACAAAACAUACAUCUAGCUUGCUGAAGAGAAAAGAAAUCAUGCUGAAACAAGAAAUCACCGAUGAAGACUUUAUCUUGGAUAAGCAGCCAAAGAAACAAUUGAACUCUUUUUUUUUUUUUUGGGGGGGGGGGGGGUAACGAUACUAAAAACCGAAAAGGUUAUACACCACCGUAAAGCAAUUAAUCCAAGAAAUGGGAACUGGAUUUUACUGUAUAAAAACCAUUUUACUAUGCAACAAAUUUUUUUUAGGGAUAACGUCAAAAUUUUGUUAUAAAUUAAAAAAUUAAUGAAAUUUUCUAUUUUAGUGAACAUCAUUAAAAUUUUCAUUAGAUCUUAAAAAGUGAUGAAAUCUUGUAUCUUAAGGGAUUAACGUCAAAGUUUUUAUUAAAAUUCAAGAAAUUACAAAAUCUACUAUUUUUAGGAAUUAAUAUAAAAAAUUUAAUAAAAUCUCCUAUUUUAGAGAUUGGUUUUUAUAACCGUGGAGAUUAUAUAUAUACAUAGCAAGGCUAGUGUCAUAAAAUGACAAGCUAUGGACUCUUUGGUUUUUAGGGAUGAGAAUAAUUUUUACAAGUUUUUUAUUCUAAGAAACCGGUGUCUAUUCUUAAAUAAAUUAUAAAUAAAAAUAUAAUAGCAUAAAAUAAUUUAGAAAAACAUAAACAAUGAUAAUUUUUUAUUUAAAAGGUUAUAGUAAAGGUGAUGUUAACCUAAUAUCUGAAUCUUUAAAAAUCCCCAACAAUUUUAGAAUUUCUAAUUUUCUUUGAUUAUUAGGUUUCGACUCUCUUCGUUGCAUUGGUCACGGUGUGUUGCUAAAAUUAACAUCAUGUUUUACUAUCGUUGCACUACAAAAAACAGAAAACAACAUGUAAUGGCUCUUCAAAAUAUAUUUAACGACACUUUUAGUGUCGCUAAAUAUUUUCAAUCUGCAACAGAAUUAUCACAAAUGGUCACUAUAUAUAGUGUCAUAAUUAAGUUAUGCAGUGACACCGAACCCCCUAUAAAAAGAUUGAAGAUCCAAUUUAAUAAUCUGAGGAAUUGAAAAUUAAGGAUUCAAUUUAAUAAUUUAAAGAAAUUUGAUAUGAUUUAUUACUUUCAAAUUAUAUGGACUCGGGUAAAACUUGGUUAAAUAUUAUUGAUUUUUUUUUUUGGAAAAACAAUUUUGGUAAAAAGAUGUCAUUUUAAUCCCUUUAAAUAAAAACUAUUUCAUUGAUGGUAUAUAACUUGCAAGAUAGUAUAGACAUUCAUUACAAGUUAGUUGGGGAUUGUUGGUGUAAUUUAUAAAUGAAUAAAAAAAGAAAUGAUGUCUAUCCCAAAUUAGAAAAAAACACUCCCUCUUAAUGUUUGUAAUUAAGUGUGGGUUUCUAUUGUGUAGUAAAUUAAAUCAUGAUAGAAGAACUCUCCUAGUGGGCUUUCUAAUAUUAUUAUAUAGAUAUUUAUAAUAUCAAAAGAUGACACUUGGAACUUGGAACUUAAUAUAUCAGUGAGAUUAAUUCACCAUUGAAUUAAUUCUCGUAAUUAAUUAUGACAUUUGUGACUGUUGAGAUAAAACUGAAUAAUAAUUAUUCGAUUUAAUUUAAAGUGUAACUCUUUUAUGAACAAUCAUAUUGUUUAAUCAAUAGUCGUACCGUUUCAUCAGCAGUCAUGCCGUUUCAUCAGCAAUCAUAUUAUUUCAUGAACAAUCAUAUUGUUUCAAGUCUAUAAAAACAUGUUACUACACAAAAAAAUCAUAUACAACAAAAAUAUAUAUUCUUUUCUUGGUCUCAUCUUCUCAUUCUUUUAGAGGACUUAGGCUGUGUUUGUUUUCCGCUAGCUUUUGCGCUUGCGGUGAAACCAACGCAGCAAGGUGUUUGGUAAAAACCAAACUAUGUUUUAUGUUGCGAGGCCCACUAAAAAAUUGAGUUUGAAAAACAGUUUUUACAUGUUUUUUUAACUGAGUUUCGUAAAAAUUCCUAAAACCCUAUUUGUUUUGCAUUUCAAAAGCGCUUUUGAAAAAAAUUAAAAAAUUUUAUUUUUUUCUUUACUUCAAAUUAAUAUUUUUUUAUGUUUUCAGAUCAUUUUGAUGUGCUGAUAUCAAAAAUAAUUUUUUAAAUAUAAAAAAAUAUUAUUUUAAUAUAAAAGACACUUUGAAAAGCAACCGCAACCACACUCUCAAACACAACUAUCAAAUAUUUUAUACAUGUUUUUUGUUACACAUAAACUUCAACCAUAUUUUUUACCAAACACGUAUCUAAAUCUAACUAAUCACAGCAAACUGCAUAUUUUUAAAUUUUUUUUUUUCAAAUCACAAUCACAAAAUUAUCUAAAACACAAACAUUUAAAAUAAACACUUUAAAAACAAUAUUUUCACACCUUUAAGCUACCUUCCUAUUUGUUUCCAUUCUAAAUAUUUUCAAGAGUACAUGUACCCUGUUGCUGUUUAAACAGAAAAAGAAGAAGAGGGGGGACAAAUAUGCAGUUCCUUAGAAAAAUAAAAAUACGGCAUUCAUCUGUACUUGGGUUUGAAAUAAGACAUCUUGGCUAUUUGGUUGCUCAAUGAUCCACUUCUUACUAACUUCUGCAACUUACUAGCCUCUGUCAAAAAGGGUUGCUCUGCUCUACUUUUUUCCUGCAGAAAGAAGAAGAAGAAGAAGAAGAAGAAGAAGAAAGGAAGGUGAUUGAGUCCAGACAAUAUGAAUCCUUUCCUCCAGAAAAUCUUGCUCAUUUCUUGGCCUUUUCACACCCAUUGAAAGGAGCUCCAAUCACACAAACCAGCAAUCCUUCCAAACUUUUUCACAUGAUCAGCACACGCAACUGAUAUCCACACAGCCCCAGAGCCUGUAGCUGCCGCCAACAAAACCCCAGCAUCCUCUCCAUGAAUAAACCAAAACACAUCCCUGCCACCCCCUGCUUAUCCACUAAUAACUCCUUAAACUACCCAGAUACAUGACUUCCAUUUUUAGACCCAAAAAUCAAAGAUCAAUAUCAAACCCCAGUCCCUGCUAUGAAAACAGGAUAAAAUCACCUGAUCUCAAAAACCCAGAUAGAUAGAUGCUUGUUUAUAGUUCCAUUACACAAGAGCUAAUUGGUUACUACUUUUGGUUUGGGUAAAUUAGUUUGGAUGGACAGAUAUAUAUUACCGUGAUCCAGUUUGGAAGAUCAGUGGAAUAACAUAAAAUGAAGAGAAGAAAUAGAGAAGCAGAUGAGAAGCAGGAAUUUCAGUAGAAUGCUAUAAUCAGUUGUCCAUAUCAGAUACAUUUCAGUAGAAACUACAGCAUUCUUAACCUAAGGUCAGUAUCAAUCCAAAAUAAUUGCUAUAAAUCGAAGAAGAAAUUACUUUCCACAAAUAAUAAUCCUUAGCCUAGAACUCGGUAGAAUUGAAAAGCACGAGUGUUUCACCUUUGGAACUCAAAAUGGCAUGUCAUUCUCAGUAGAAACAUACAACCAGGAAAAGCCAUCCGCAGUAAGUAACCCCUGACCGAGACUAGACUGAAAAGUUCAAUAAUAUAGGGACUGAAUUGAAAUGUUAGAAACAGUACAGGGACUGUAACAAAAUUCAACCCUCAUCACCAAACCCCAAGUACAUAAACUAACCCUCUCUCUUCAUUUCACAACCAGCAGCCUCCUUCCCCUCACACUCUCCUCUCUCUCUCUCUCAGUUCAUCCUAUCAUCAUUAUCUCUUUUUUAAAAAUAAAAUUAAACCAAACAGAAAAAUGGCAGAGGCACUUUUAUCGCCAAUUUUGGAGCAGUUAACCACGGUCGUUGCUCAACAGGUAAUUACUUUUAUACAAUUUGCAAUGAUCUAAUUAACCCUUACAUGAAUAAGAAAUAUAAAAAUUUAAGUCUUUUUUUUCUUCCAUAAUCUUAUUAUAGACUUUACAAAUACCAACAAAUACAGAUUCUUUUAUUCACUUUCCUUUUAUUCCUUUUAUAUAUUCUUUGAUCCGCCAAGCUUAUGUUAUAUAUAGGUUUGACGUCGAACAAUUUAAGAUUUAUUUUUUUCCUUCUUGUAUAGUAGCAGAGUGCAGACAGAGAUAUCAUCACGAUCAUGAUAAAAAGAAAUAUUAUUAUUUUUAAUAUAUAGGUUCUUCAUAAAUAUUUUAUAUAUAAAUUUAUAAUAUAGCCAAUCCAAUUCACUGUACGUGUGAACUAUGCGGAAAAAAGAUUAAUAAAAAUUAUUUAAUCUAUUAAUUACCAAAAAUUAAAAUUAAAAACUUGUAGUGAAAUCAUAGAACUGUUUCCUCUGCUUGAACUUUCUGAUCUUUUCUACACCAAUAGGUACAGGAAGAGGUGAGCCUAGUAGGGGGUGUGAAGAAACAAGUCGACAAGCUGAAAAGCAAUCUCAUUGCUAUCCAAUCUGUCCUUGAAGACGCAGAUAGAAAACAAGUGAAGGAUAAGGCUGUAAGAGAUUGGGUAGACAAGCUCAAAGAUGUAUGUUAUGAUAUGGAUGACGUGCUAGAUGAAUGGAGCUCAGCAAUUCUUACUUGGAAAAUGGAGGAAGCUGAAGAAAAUACUCGCAGCCUACAGAAGAUGCGAUGUUCCUUCCUGGGAUCUCCUUGCUUUUGUCUCAAUCAAGUGGGUCGACGUCGAGACAUUGCCCUCAAGAUCAAAGAAGUAUGUGAAAAAGUGGAUGACAUUGCGAAAGCGAGAGCUAUGUAUGGCUUUGAGUUGUACAGGGCCACUGAUGAACUCCAACGAAUAACAAGUACCUCCCUUGUUGAUGAAUCAAUCGUGACUGGUCGAGAUGAUGAAAGGGAAGCUGUAGUAAGCAAGUUGCUGGGCGAAAGUAUUCAGGAAGCAGGGGACGUGGAGGUCAUCUCUAUAGUAGGGAUGGGCGGGAUUGGAAAGACAACUCUCGCCCAACUAGCUUUUAAUGAUGCUGAGGUUACGGCUCAUUUUGAGAAGAUAUGGGUGUGUGUUUCAGAUCCAUUUGAUGAGGUUAGGAUAGGCAAAGCUAUCCUCGAGCAGCUUGAAGGGAGGGCACCGGAUUUGGUUGAAUUGCAAUCCCUUUUGCAAAGGGUUUCUGAAUCCAUUAAGGGAAAGAGGUUCCUUCUUGUCCUAGAUGAUGUCUGGACAGAAAAUCAUGGACAAUGGGAACCACUGAAACUCUCUCUCAAAGGCGGUGCACCAGGAAGCAGAAUUCUAGUGACCAGUCGUAAACAUUCUGUGGCAACCAUGAUGGGAACCGACCACAUGAUCAACCUUGAGAGACUGUCUGAUGAGGUAUGCAGGUCAAUAUUCAAUCACGUGGCAUUCCAUAAAAGAAGCAAAGAUGAGUGCGAAAGAUUGACAGAAAUCAGCGAUAAAAUUGCAAACAAGUGCAAGGGAUUGCCUCUAGCUGCCAAGGUAUUAGGAGGUCUAAUGCAGUUUAAAAGAACAAGAGAAGAGUGGGAACAUGUUUUAUCUAGCGAACUGUGGGAGCUAGAACAUGUUGAAAGAGGACUAUUUCCACCUUUGCUUUUAAGUUACUACGAUUUACCUUCUGUGGUAAGACGAUGUUUCUUGUAUUGUGCCAUGUUUCCAAAAGACUACGAGAUGGUCAAAGAUGAAUUGGUGAAGAUGUGGAUGGCUCAAGGUUACCUUAAGGAGACUCCAAGUAGAGAUAUGGAGCUUGUUGGAGAGGAGUACUUUCAAGUCUUAGCAGCGCGCUCUUUCUUCCAAGAUUUUAAGACGGAUGAGUUUGAAGGAAUGAAAUUCAAGAUGCAUGAUAUAGUGCAUGAUUUUGCCCAAUAUAUGACAAAAAAUGAAUGUCUAACAGUGGAUGCCAGUAAACUUGGAGAAGCAACAACAGAGAUUUCAUGUGAAAGGGUUCGUCAUUUAAGCAUGAAGUUAUCAGGGGAGACCUCUUUUCCGGCGUCCAUUCGCAAAGCAAAAGGUCUUCGCAGCCUCUUGAUAGGCAGUAGAGACCCUUCGCUUGGAGCUGCACUACUUGAUGUAUUCAAGCAGUUGACAUGCAUCAGGUCAUUGAAUUUGUCAUGGUCUUCAAUCAAAGAAAUACCAAAGGAGGUAGGGAAAUUGAUACAUUUGAGACACCUCAAUUUGGCAGAUUGUGGAGAGUUGGAGUCCCUGCCAGAAACCACGUGUGAUUUAUGCAAUCUGCAAUCCCUAGACGUUACGUGGUGUCGUUCUCUUAAGGAAUUACCUAAGGCUAUUGGAAAACUUAUCAAAUUGAGGCAUCUCCAGAUUUAUGGUUCAGGUGUGGCCUUCAUACCAAAGGGAAUAGAGAGGAUAACAUGUCUUCGAACAUUAGAUGGGUUUACUGUGUGUGGUGGUGGUGAGAAUGAAAGUAAAGGAGCUAAUCUAAGAGAAUUAAAAAACUUAAAUCUCAUUGGAGGGAGUUUUAGUAUACGGAAUCUAGGAGGAGGUAUAGAAGAUGCGAGUGACGCUGCAGAAGCACAACUCAAGAAUAAGAAGCGCCUGCUUUGUUUGGAAUUGGGUUUCGACUACAACCAGGAGAACGGCAUUUUAAUUGAAGCUUUACAGCCUCCGUCAGACUUGGAAUAUCUAACCAUAUCUAGUUACGGAGGGUUGGAUUUGCCAAAUUGGAUGAUGACAUUGACCAGAUUACAGGUGCUUACACUCCGUUAUUGUGAAAACGUGGAGGUCUUGCCUCCGUUGGGAAGAUUGCCCAACCUUGAAAGCCUGGUAUUGAGCUCGUUGAAGGUGAGAAGGCUGGAUGCUAGAUUUUUAGGUAUAGAAAAGGCUGAGAAUGCCAGUAUUGAUGAAGGAGAAAUUGCAAGGGUCACUGCUUUCCCCAAAUUAAAAAAACUUUGGAUUGAGGGUCUCGAAGAAGUAGAAGAGUGGGAUGGAAUUGAAAUGAGAGUAGGAGAAGAAGAUGCCAACACAACUUCAAUAUCCAUUAUGCCACAACUUCGAGAGUUGAAAAUUCAUAAAUGCCCAUUGCUGAGAGCACUACCAGACUAUGUUUUGACAGCGUCAUUACGGGUGUUUGAACUCGAUGAUUGUACAAACAUGGAGGUCUUGCCUCCGUUGGGAAGAUUGCCCAACCUUGAAAGCCUGGCAUUGAGGUCGUUGAAGGUGAGAAGGUUGGAUGCUGGAUUUUUAGGUAUAGAAAAAGAUGAGAAUGCCAGUAUUAAUGAAGGAAAAAUUGCAAGGGUCACUGCUUUCCCCAAAUUAAAAGAGCUUGGCAUUAGUUAUCUCGAAGAAGUAGCAGAGUGGGAUGGAAUUGAACGGAGAGUGGGAGAAGAAGAUGCCAACACAACUUCAAUAUCCAUUAUGCCA